UUCAAGGGAUGUGUUGAUUAACCAAGCUGU
This 30-nucleotide non-coding RNA is filed under the name Rattus norvegicus (Norway rat). Lineage: Eukaryota; Metazoa; Chordata; Mammalia; Rodentia; Muridae. The record is from RNAcentral.